This 579-nucleotide long non-coding RNA is filed under the name Glycine max (soybean). Its description in RNAcentral is "long non-coding RNA (GMAX_LNC000749)". The record is from RNAcentral. Lineage: Eukaryota; Viridiplantae; Streptophyta; Magnoliopsida; Fabales; Fabaceae.
UUAGUUUAGCUUAAUCCACCAAAACACACUCCUUACAAAAAUAAUAAAAUAAAACUAAAUAAAGGGUUGCAGAUCUGUUCGGUAAAAAAGGAACUGCAACAACAACAAAACAAGAAAAGGUUUUUAUAUUUUAUUUGUUAAAAAAAGAGGAGGGAGCAGAGAUAGCGAAGGAAGGAAGCUUUAUUUUGUUGUAGUAAUAAAAAAAGAGUGAGAGAGAGAGAGAGAGAGAGAGAGACCAUGUUUGGGGAAGUGAGGGACGACUCUGAUGGCUUGGGAAAUGGCUUGGAGUCUGGGGUCUCCCUUGAGGCCAUUCUCUUCGGCGAACAUUUUGAAAGGAAAAAAAAGGUGAUUUGCUUUGUGGGGGGGGCUUUUUGUGUUGUAUUGUGUUUCCCUCCGAAACUGUUACUUUUUAGUGUGGAAUGGAAGAAGAGCGAAAGAAAAGGAUGGUUUGAGCGUUGUUCAACUUAACAAACUGUGGGCAUUUUGUUUGAGCUUAUUUAUGUCCAGCGUCACCCCCAACCCCAACCCAACACAUUCUAACCACGCGAUUUUCCCCACUCCACCUCACACGCUCUCUUU